AGCAGCACUUGUUUGUCCCUUCUUUCAUUGGUGGCGGGAGAAAGAGGAUCCACCCACUCCCUUAUGCUGAUUUGAGCCUUCCUUGUGAGUUGGCUCCAUUUUUGUUCUUUUAUAUGUGGGUGUACAUACCCGAGGUGAGGAAAUAAGUUCAGAUUACACUAAGGUGGAUCUCUCGAUUAAUAUGCAACUUUUUUAUGAAUAAAAGGUCUGAUAUUCUAGUAAGCUUAUGUGUGAUUUAGUAUAGAAUUAUGCUUUCAAGGUUGUACUAAUAGAUGACCUUCGCCAUUCUCUAAUUUUCCCUAGCAUGGAUUGCCUACUCUACAAGAUAAAGUGCCGGUUUAUGAGGAUAUUUUCCAAAAAGAGUUGUUAGGGUAUGAUGUACUCGAUUGAUCUAUGAGAUGACUUGCUUGGUGGCGAAGGUUUUUUACAUGUGCUCAGAUCUUUUAUUGCUCACUGGGAACAAGCAAUAAAAGAGCUGUACUAGAAUACAAAGGUUCUUGUGUCUCGCGUGUGGCAGUACCGAGGAGGGACCGACGAUGGUCAGCUUGUGCAUACUGGCAUUGUGGUGCUUGACCAAGAGGGCACCCACAUGUAUGGCCAGAUUCAUGCUGACAGCUCAGGCACGGCGGUGCCCAUUCUUGCCUCUUUCCCUACGGGAUCAGCUACACUUGUCGUGCUGCCUCUUGAUGAGAUGAACACUCCUAUAUCUUCAUUCAAAGGAAAAGGGCAGGCUAUUAUGCCUAAAACACCCAGGUCGGUCAAGAAACUGAGCUUAUAGCUACUGAAGGUCCAAAGAACAACCUUCCUGACCACACUAAAUUCAAGAGUAAUGAAGGACAUUCAGGACAAACACUGCUGUCAAGCCAGCUGGCGCUCCAAAGAAAGCGAAGCAGUAGUUCUUCCAUGGACUAGGCUAGAUAUGUACAUACGGUGUAACCGGCGCUUCUUGAGUUCCAUUUUUCCUACAGGUGCGCCAGAUGAUAUGUCGCAAUAUGAUGAUAACUUUGGUUCCUCUUCUUUCUCAGGGUGUCUUCUAUGUUCUGCUUGCUGAAGAGAGCUUCUCAGCUCUGCUGCGUCGCAGCAACGGUCUGGCCAUCGGGUCUGAAGAUCGUCAACUCUACACAAUUUUGGGCGUGCACCAGGUUUAUUUUGUGCAACUUUGUAAGACAAGGCUUUGACACUCGCAUAACUAUGUCGAGCCACUGUCAUGAAAAUUCCUCUAUUUAGGUCAUCGAACAAAUCAAGUACUAUGCAUUGUAAAUAUCGCCGUCAGCCCUUUCUGCCUUAUCUCCCUCCUUAUGACAAUUUCUACCUUCUGUAAAUGCCGUUGGGCCAUGCUGCGUAA
Molecule: long non-coding RNA, 1345 nt
Organism: Triticum dicoccoides
Lineage: Eukaryota; Viridiplantae; Streptophyta; Magnoliopsida; Poales; Poaceae
Exons: 6
Source: RefSeq, a predicted model, not a curated record